AUUGGCUUUCAAUUCACCGAAGCUGAGUGUCUCAAGAUUGAUGUAAAAGAGAAGAAAGUCUAUUGCCAAUCUAAUUUAGAGAAUGGGGAAAACGAAAUUUGAGUGGACUACGACUACCUUGUAAUAUUUGUGGGAGCAAAUGUUAAUACAUUCAAUACUCCUGGUGUGAUGGAGAACUGCCAUUUCUUGAAGGAAGUAGAAGAUGCCCAGAAGAUACGAAGAACUGUUAUUGAAUGCUUUGAAAAGGCUAGCCUGCCAACUGUAAAUGAUGAGGAGAAGGAGAGAAUUCUUCAUUUUGCCGUUGUUUGAGGUGGCCCAACUGAGGUUUAAAGCAGAACAGCAGCUACAAUGUCAAAGCUACAGAGUUUAAACUCAAGAGUCAUUACUGGAUACUUACUAGCAGGAUCUGCCAUUGGACCCAGUCACCCAGAGGCUUGAAUUUUGUCAGUGAAAUAGUCCAAGAGGCUUGUCUUUAUUCCUAUUUUGCUUGAUUGAUUCUUUCUUUGCGCUUCCCCUAUUGACUGUUUCUUCAGGAUUAUGUUUUCAGUUGUUCCAUUUGCAGAUUCAAAAUCAUGAAUACUCAUGUUAUACUAGAUUCAAAAUCACGAAUACUCAUGUUAUACUAGUUCGGUCUUUUGCCAUUCGGUAUAGGUGGAUCUAUAAUUUUCUUGUCAUUAAUUUAUGUGUGUUUACAUUUGGUAAAGUCCAGUUAUAUUAGUAUUGAGAUUCACUGCCUUUUUAGUACCUUUUAAGCUCAGUCAUGUCGGUAUUUCUUUUCGUUGAGUUUAGUAAUACCAAAAAUCACUGUCAUUAGGUUUAUGUUGCACUGUGAAACUGACUUUGUCAUUCUCUUGCAGGGCCUUGGAUUACAAGUUGUGAAAUAUUUGGCUGCCAAAUAUGAAGAGCUAGGGUGUGAAGUGAAAUGGAUGGGCAAGCCUGAUAAGGUGAUCUAGUCACA
This is a long non-coding RNA of Rosa rugosa (rugosa rose), 958 nucleotides long. RefSeq lists it as uncharacterized. The transcript has 4 exons. NCBI's taxonomy places the organism in Eukaryota, Viridiplantae, Streptophyta, Magnoliopsida, Rosales, Rosaceae. The record is from RefSeq and is a predicted model, not a curated record.